AUUGAACGCUGGCGGCAGGCCUAACACAUGCAAGUCGAGCGAGCGGCGGACGGGUGAGUAAUGUCUGGGAAACUGCCUGAUAGAGGGGGAUAACUACUGGAAACGGUAGCUAAUACCGCAUACCAUCAGAUGUGCCCAGAUGGGAUUAGCUGGUAGGUGGGGGAACGGCUCACCUAGGCGACGAUCCCUAGCUGGGCUGAGAGGAUGACCAGCCACACUGGAACUGAUACACGGUCCAGACUCCUACGGGAGGCAGCAGUGGGGAAUAUUGCACAAUGGGCGAAAGCCUGAUGCAGCCAUGCCGCGUGUGUGAAGAAGGCCUUCGGGUUGUAAAGCACUUUCAGCGGGGAGGCGUUACCCGCAGAAGAAGCACCGGCUAAGUCCGUGCCAGCAGCCGCGGUAAUAC
This 406-nucleotide ribosomal RNA is filed under the name uncultured bacterium. RNAcentral describes it as "partial 16S ribosomal RNA". It matches the Rfam family "Bacterial small subunit ribosomal RNA", at positions 30 to 526 of the family's 1533-position model. The record is from RNAcentral.